Molecule: long non-coding RNA, 694 nt
Filed under: Anser cygnoides (Swan goose)
Lineage: Eukaryota; Metazoa; Chordata; Aves; Anseriformes; Anatidae
Description: lncRNA (ENSACDG00005004101.1)
Source: RNAcentral
GUGUGGUGCUGUAAGGAGGGGUGAGUGGGGACUUGCUGUGGGGUCUGGAGGGGCUGGGGAGGAGGUGAGGGAAGGGGACAGCACCACUGGGGUGGGAAGGAGAAUCAAGGGGCUGGAUACCUGUCGACAGUCUCCUGGGUGCUUUUUAGAAAUGUGGUGUGAAGGCAGCUCUUCUGUCUUAUAAGAUGGGGGUCCUGCUUGGAAACACUAGAGACUGGACUAGCAAUGGGAUAAAGAAAAGCUGAAAGGAAAGUAUUCAGGCAGGUCUGCUGCAUUUAUCCCCUCACCCAGAAAGGUUCCCAGGGUGAUGCAGACUCGAGGUGCUUGACCUCGUCUCCCACAGAUGGAGGGAACGGCCCAGGAACUGAAACUUCUGCCCUCACUAUGGCCUAGUGGUGGGACGUCCUGCCAGCAGUGGAGUCCUGGAGGAAGGGCACCCACCUGCAUGUGUGGUCACCGGGAGAGUGCAGCAGGCUCAGGCCCUGUAUGCAAAGCAGGAUCAGCCCAGCACAUAGAUAAGGUGUUAAUCACAGUUCUCCAAGUCCCAGAGAGUGUCAUUGUGGCUGUCCUGAUCAUUUCUUCCAGGGAGAAUGGGAGCCUGCAGCUCUGCUUGGCUUGUUUGCAAGUUUUCUCCUCUCUAGCUCGAUCCAUGUAUCCAAUGGAGUUGGUGUAUUCAGAAAAGGAUACAUUAUAG